This 420-nucleotide ribosomal RNA is filed under the name bacterium. RNAcentral describes it as "partial 16S ribosomal RNA". It matches the Rfam family "Bacterial small subunit ribosomal RNA", at positions 355 to 776 of the family's 1533-position model. The record is from RNAcentral.
UGGGGGAUAUUGCACAAUGGGCGAAAGCCUGAUGCAGCGACGCCGCGUGGGGGAUGAAGGCUUUCGGGUUGUAAACCUCUUUCGCUAUCGAACAAGGCCCGCUUAGGGUGGGUUGAGGGUAGGUGGAGAAGAAGCGCCGGCUAACUACGUGCCAGCAGCCGCGGUAAUACGUAGGGCGCGAGCGUUGUCCGGAAUUAUUGGGCGUAAAGGGCUUGUAGGCGGCUUGUUGCGACUGCUGUGAAAACGCGGGGCUUAACUUCGCGCGUGCAGUGGGUACGUGCAGGCUUGAGUGUGGUAGGGGUGACUGGAAUUCCAGGUGUAGCGGUGGAAUGCGCAGAUAUCUGGAGGAACACCGAUGGCGAAGGCAGGUCACUGGGCCAUUACUGACGCUGAGGAGCGAAAGCAUGGGUAGCGAACAGG